RNAcentral lists this ribosomal RNA (307 nucleotides) under uncultured bacterium. RNAcentral's name for it is "partial 16S ribosomal RNA". It matches the Rfam family "Bacterial small subunit ribosomal RNA", at positions 506 to 807 of the family's 1533-position model. The record is from RNAcentral.
AGACAGCAGUAGCCGCGGUAAUACGUAGGGGGCGAGCGUUGUCCGAAGUUACUGGGCGUAAAGAGCGCGUAGGCUGGUCUUUAAGUGAGUGGUGAAAGGUUCGGGCUCAACCCGGACACUGCCUUUCAUACUGGGGACCUUGAGUGUGGGAGAGGCGAGUGGAAUGGUCGGUGUAGCGGUGAAAUGCGUAGAUAUCGAUCGGAACACCCAUGGCGAAGGCAGCUCGCUGGCCUAACACUGACGCUGAGGCGCGAAAGCGUGGGGAGCAAACAGGAUUAGAUACCCCCGUAGUCCCUGUCUCUUAUAC